This 403-nucleotide ribosomal RNA is filed under the name Fusobacteriota bacterium. RNAcentral describes it as "Fusobacteria bacterium partial 16S ribosomal RNA". It matches the Rfam family "Bacterial small subunit ribosomal RNA", at positions 355 to 776 of the family's 1533-position model. Lineage: Bacteria; Fusobacteriati; Fusobacteriota. The record is from RNAcentral.
UGGGGAAUUUUGCACAAUGGAGGAAACUCUGAUGCAGCGACGCCGCGUGAGUGAUGAAGAUCUUCGGAUUGUAAAACUCUGUCCUUAGUGAAGAUAAUGACAGUAACUAAGAAGCAAGCCCUGGCUAAAUACGUGCCAGCAGCCGCGGUAAUACGUAUGGGGCAAGCGUUGUCCGGAAUUAUUGGGCGUAAAGGGUACGUAGGCGGUUUAAUAAGUCCUAAUUAAAAGGCUAUGGCUCAACCAUAGUAUGGUUAGGAAACUGUUGAACUUGAGUAGAUGAGGGGAAAGUGGAAUUCCAUGUGUAGCGGUGAAAUGCGUAGAUAUAUGGAGGAACACCAAUGGGGAAGGCAACUUUCUGGAAUCAAACUGACGCUGAGGUACGAAGGCGUGGGGAGAAAACAGG